AGACAAGAAUAGGUAACGAAUAAUUGUUCGUACGCGGUUUAUUACGCAUAUGUGUGAGCGUCCUUUUAAAAAUAGAGCAAGUAAAGUUUGUCUGUUAAUUGCCGUUUUCAUUUUAGUAUAUCGACUGUCGCAAACAUUAAAAUAUUUUUAUUUUACGCGAGAUUUAUUGGAGUGAACAUGAUUCGUGUUACUCAUUCAAAAAUUAAUACGGUUUAUGUUGCAUUUAUAAUAUUACAUUUUGUCACAAUUGAAGAUGUGCAUUGCGGUAAGUGUGUAUUGCUUAACGCCUCACGAUACGACCAAACCGCGGAAACAGAACUGAAACAUAUUAUUAACUAGUUAUUUAUUUUAACUGAAUACAAAUUUAAAAAAAUUUACAAAUAUUAAUCUUUUUUAUCUAUUUGAAUCAAAUUUGUCACCAAGUAAACUUAAACAUUAUUUAUGUGAACAUUUUAUGAAUAAAUAUUUUAGACUUAAUACUUAAUUUUUAGUUAGCGAUUCAGAAGAACCGGAAGAAUUUGAAAGUUUUACUGGAUCACCAAAACACGGUACUCCUUUGAAUAAUAAAUAACAACGAGAAAAAUAGUUAUAAAAAAUGUAUACUUACUGAAAAAAAUAUGUAUAUUUUCAAUUAUUUGAAUAAUCCCACCCACUAUUAAUGUGUCAACAAAUCGCUGUGUCCCUUAAAAUGUUUCUUGUAUUCGGUGCAUUAAUUUAUAGUACUGUAAUGAAACAUAUAAGUCAUUUAAUUGUUUCUUAUUUGAAAUUGAAUACAAUGAUUUAUUAAUUAUAAAUUGUAUACUAUUCAGUAUAGGCUCCUCCCGAAAUACUAAGUGUUGAACUAUGUACAGUUGUAUGUAUUAUUAUGACGUUAUAAUUGUGUAGUUAAAUAAUUAAUAUUAUAAUGAAUUUCCUGUUGCUAUACAAACUUAGGUAUUACAUACGAUCCUAAAUGUGUAUUAUAUAAUGCAUUAUGUGUAUCAAAAAAUUGUUCUAUAAUUUAUUACGUAUUGUAUUCGUAAUUUAAAUAAAAAUAAUCAAUAAUGCAUAAAGAGUAAUAGGAAGGAGACACCGUUAUAUUUUUGGGAAAGAACAUCAACUACGUUUUUUUAAGAAUUAAUCUAAGCUUAUCAGAGUUUAGAAUUUAGGACUCGACAUUUACUUUUGUCAGACUUUUGUUUUUCAAAUUGUAUUCUUUAAGUGUUUACAGUAGUAUAAUUAUAAUGGAUAAUUGUGAUGUUCAUAUUAUAAUGCCCUAAAGAAAUAAGGAAUUGUUUUGUGAAUAAUGAAAUUUUUAUUUCAUAUUUUUAUAUAAAUAAUGAGCAACCUCGCAUUGUAUGUAGAACCGUGUAAUAUUAUGAAAAAAAAAUUUAUUUUAUGUAUACAUGCGUAAUCCUAUAUGUAAAAUGGUAUAUUGUGUUGUCAAAACAAUUUUACUAACAUAGAUUAUUGAGGCAAAACCUUGAACAUUCAACAUGAAGUUAUUUCACAAAGUAUUUAAUUUAUUAAAGGCAACAAUAAUUACGUUCUUACCACUCCAAAAAAUAUAAAUCCGGUUUCUAAUGAUAACUAUGCGUGUAUUUUAUUUAUGCCAUAACUAAACAAAAAAUUACAUAAAUUAUUUUGAUUAAUUUGACUUAAUGGACAAAAAUAUAUCUUUCAGAUGCCUGGAUUUGAGAACCAAUUUAUUUCCACUGUAGUAUAUUAUCGAGAAAUGUACUCCAACCUUUUGAAAUUUAGAUAAACCGUUGUAAACUAUCUAUAUUCUGUUUACCAUAAUUUAUAAUUAUUUUACACAAAAAAGAUAUACCAAAAAACAAAGCAUUUCUUUUAAUCUUUUAUAUACAUCAAGAAUGGCUAAUUGGUCGAUCUCUGAAAUUUUAACUGUCGUUUUGUUAGAGUUUAUUUAUAUAAAAAUAGUAGAGAAAUCACAAUUGUUGAGAAUUUCGAUUACUAGAUAAUUUUGAUAUCAUUAAAACAGUUCGACAGUUUUAAUGCUGUCAAUGAAUUAUUGGGUUAUUUUAUUCAUAAAAUUACAUUAGUAAAGUCUUAAAAUAAUAUAUGUUGAAAAAUGUAUUUAAUUAUACAUUUUACUUUUUAUAAUACUAUUUUGUACCACAGGGCUUGGAAGAUCUUUAGAAGGAUGUAAGUUUUUUUUUUUUGUUAAUAUACUUUCGUUAUAAAUUAAUGUUGACGUAUCUUAUUUAGAAUACAGUUCUUGGUGGUAAUAUAGUUUGCCAUUUCAGUUGAUAAUUAAUUUACAAUUUUUUGACCUUUUCAUACUGUGUAAUGUUUUAUUUUUAUGUUAUUUUUUUUUUUUUAUAUAAUUCAUAAUUUUUGUUUUUGAUUAAUUAUUUUAAAUUAUUAUAAUUUUAUUCGUAUAGUAUUUUACGUCCAAACAGCACUAANGGUAAAACAAUACACAUACACUUUUUUUAAUGUCAGUACUGGUGUUUUAUACUCUUUAUACUCUUUUUAAUGGAAAAUAUAUAAUAGUAGUAGAAUCGGCAACAUUUAACCCAUGUGGUAUAUAGUAGUCUUCACAUAUAUAACGAAAACACGUGGAACAAGAGUCCCUGUGUUGGUGGGUCAAGAUUUUAUUCUUUGUGCUACCCCGUGGUUAGCGUAGCCCGUAAUAACGUCGAGGGGAAACGUACGCUUACAGACGAAGUAGAGUGAUUGAUUACUCAGGUUGCUUCUACGUGAUGACCUCGGUGAUACCGUCGUUGAUACUGUUGACUGAUGGCGACUUCGGUGCUCCAUGGUGCUACCGCGAUCUGUGGUGAUGUACAAGCUAAGGAAUAGAUAUAGAACGAUUAAAGAAUAAUAUGGAGGAUUUUAAUUUAUUCUCGAUAUUAUUAAUUUUCUUAUGGGUGUAUCACACCUGUAAUUUGAGCUUAAAACUAUAGUUGCCGAACAACAGAAUUAUUUAUAAUAUAUUAUAUUGUAUUGUAAUACCGUAAUACGGUAUUGUAUACCAUGACGCCGACCGUUACGCGUCAUUUUUUCGUAUUUUAUUAUUUAAAAAAAAAAUAUUUCUAUUUCUAUGUAUUUUAUAUAACGGACAAAUCUAAAAAUUAAUAAAUGAAUUAUAGAAAAAAAUUAGAUAAAAUUAAUUUUAUGCACAUUGUGGAAAGGUCAAAAACAUUUUAUGAAAUUUAUGCCCAAAUCAUGAAACGGGCAACUUUAUUAAGUGGAUGCGUCAUAUAAAUACAUAAUAAAUAUAUUGAUAUAAAAAUAUUACAUCGCCGAUAUAAUUAAACAUUUAUUUCUAUAUUUAUCUACAGAUAGGUAGUAAUGAUAUUUAGUUAAAAUCUAAUACAAUAAUUUACGAAUAUUUAUUUCUACUUUGUAUAUUUUUUUAGUUGGUGACGAGCCACGUGAGUUCAAUUUGCGUAAAAUAUGAUAAAAAGAAUAUUUUUAUAUGUAGGGUAAUUUAUUAGUAAUUCAAUAUCCAUAUCCUGGUAUGAAUGAAAUAAAUUAUGGUAUAAUGUGUAAAAAGAAAAUUUGUAUAAAUAAAAUAUAUUUUUAAAAGUAUUACCUUUAACCGGAAAUUGUUUUCUAGAACAUUUAUACAAUAUUAAUCUUUUUUAUCCAUUUGAAUUGAAUUUGGAACCAAGUAGACCUAAACAUUAUUUAUGUGAACAUUUUAUGAAUAAUUAUUUUAGACUUAAUAUUUAAUUUUUAGUUAGCGAUUCAGAAGAACCGGAAGAAUUUGAAACUUCGACUGGAUCAUCUAAAAACGG
RNAcentral lists this long non-coding RNA (3746 nucleotides) under Cinara cedri. Lineage: Eukaryota; Metazoa; Arthropoda; Insecta; Hemiptera; Aphididae. The record is from RNAcentral.